RNAcentral lists this long non-coding RNA (6958 nucleotides) under Xyrichtys novacula (pearly razorfish). The record is from RNAcentral. Lineage: Eukaryota; Metazoa; Chordata; Actinopteri; Labriformes; Labridae.
UCAUGUCCCACACGUUCCUUUUUUCACCCGCUCCUUCAGGUCAAUAUUAGCACAAGGAACUCCAGCUACUUGAUGUACCCCAGUCAAAUUUACCAAACACUGUUUGACUCAUGCUAUUAAAUCUGAAGAUGAAAGAAUGGCCAAGGGCAAACAGCUCCUACGGCUAUACACCAAAUACCCAGACUCUCUACUUUUAACAGUAAGGCACAAUUAAGAAUUUAAAUGGAUCCUGCAUAAAUGUGCUACUGCUGUGAAUCUGACUGGCUUUGAAAAUAUCAUAAUUAGUGUCAAGCCUGGCUGACAUUGUGCAAAGCGUAAAGUCCAGCCAUCAUUACUGAUGCACUGCAGAGAUAAGUUCGUCUCUGUGAUUAAAACUGAGAAAUAAAACCAAAAAGGAAUAAAAUAAUGAAGUCAGGAUGUAUAGAUGUUUUCUCCAGAGGAGCCAGACUGAAACCCACAUCUAUUCAACCCCCGUGGUAUUUACUUUCAAAAUAUAAUUCCAGCUCUAUUACAGGAGAUAGAGAAGGACAAAUAUGACACAGCAACAGACAAAUGGGAGCGAAAGAGAAAGAGAGAAGGCAGAGGAGAGGAGGGGAGCUGAGAGAGAUAGGCAGGGUUAGGAUGAUAAGGGAUCACAGAUAAAGCCUCCAGGGUGCAGACGUGUUCCAGAGAGGAGUGACCAAUCAAGAUAGAGUGAAAGAGGGGUGAAAAUUGUGAUAAGAGUGAUGACAGAGUGUAAAAUGACUCAGUCAGGCCUGGCUUCGGCUCCAAUCUCACAGUCCUCGUCCCGGUUCAGUCCAGUCCUUAGGUUGAGACUGUGCCGGCAGGUUGUAGGACGAGGCUGAUUUGGAUAUUUUUUAAAAAAGCAAAACCUCCAACACGCAGUUUUGUUCAGACACAUGCACGCAUGGGUUGACGUGAGUGUUGAAGAUGUUCUCAUGUUCUUCUGAAUUGCAAAAAGGAUGUGCAUCGUGAAUCAGGUUCAAGGAAACCCAAAUGUACUUGAAUUGGUGAUGGGAUACCGCUGAGCCAGGGUUAACUUUACCCAUGCAGCCAACUCUCUGAGGAGUUUGGUGAUUUUUUCUUGGGGUUGUAUCUUCAAAAAAGCUGAAAACCAAACCAUAAAAUUCAGAGUUUCCAAGACCACAGUUUUCCCUAGAUUUUCACUCUACUCACUGAAAUCUGAAAGAAGCCCUUAAAAACUCUUUCCCUUAAAAUUUGGGGUUGUCUCGUAUUCAGACUUCUUACAAAAACAAUUAAUCUAAAAAAAUCUUUAGGCCAAAUUCCGGCAAAAGAAACCUGUUUGUAGGAAUGUAGAGUCAGCUUCAGAUUUUUCUCUCGCUUUCAGAGUGUUUGGUUAUUUAGUAAGCUUUUAGUAGAAAUAACUUUUAGGCAGUACUUUUCAAACAAAUAGAGCUGCUAACUGAAGAGGCUCAUGCUUUAAAGAACCUCCCUCGUCGGUUUGAAAAGAAAUGUGCUGCAAGGUUGAGUUCAAGGAAACUAAGACUGACUCACAUUAGAGAUGGGAUGAAGUCUGCCAUGUCAAGGUAACUCCUUUUAUCGAUGCAAGCAUCCAUACGCUUCUUACCUCUCUAAAAGAGUCUCUUUUUCCAUGCUGGCUUUCAGAUUUUUAAGAAAGGUCAAAAAACUAAACCCUCCAACAAAAACGCCUCUGAGGACUCUCAGAGUGUUUUAAAUUCAAAUGCAAGAAGUCAAGAACUUUUUUUUCUGACUCAUCCAACAAAAUCGUCCAUUUUUGUCUGAAGGAGAGUCUAAUCCUGCAUUUGCUGACAGUACAACAUGUGCGAUAACAUGCCAUCGCAAAAGUCCACUGCUUUGGUUACACCCUAAGCUCCCCUGGGAUAAAUGUUGGACUUGUGUAUCUUCAACCCAUUGUGCAACAGUAGUAAACACUGUGUCUGAAAAGCCAAGGGACAGAAUGAGCAUGAGGAAAGGGAGAGAUUGCUGCAAUUGUUCUGAAUCCAAAUACAAUGAUGUUACAUUAAAGGUGGGGUAGGCAGGAUCUGAGGAAGUGCCAGUUUUGGGGAGAAAUCUUGAAUGUAAACACGACCCCUCCCAACCAGUUUUCCCCUCAGCUCCUCCUCUCCCCUCCCUCUCUGCUCCAGCAAGCCCCGCCCACAAACAGACGCUUGUCUUCGCUCGUAUCGUUCCAAUUUAAUUCAGAUAUAAUGAAGAUAAAUACUUCAGAUAAUUACAAAUGGGGCCCAGUCAACGUGAAAGUAAAAAGCAUUGGUGCUACUGUAGACGCCAACAGACUACCAGCAAACACAAUGUUUGCAGGACUUCUACAACUAGGAUAAAGUGACAUAGUCCAGGACCCGAGGUAAACAGUUUAGCGGCGCUAAAAAAAUAUAAAAUGUUGACGACAAAGACAUAAUAAAACACAGUGAAACCGCAAUAUUACCAAAUGUCGUCAAUGACUAAUAGCUAUUGACUGAUAUUAAAAGCUUUUUUGUAUAUACACUAUAAAAAAGAUGCUUCUUUAACAGAUUCCCGCCUAUCCCACCUUUAAAGCUUGAGAAGACUGAAUAAUCUGUUAGAUCUGCAGCCUGUGCAGCUCAAAUCCUUCAAUGUUUUCAUAGCUGUGUAAAAUUACUUUACCACGAGUGUAGAGAUGUCCCGAUGCAACUUUUUUACCUCCGAUACGAUACCAGUAUUGUAGCCUUCAGAUCAAUAUUGGCUGAUAGUAAUAUUGAUCCGAUAUUAGCACAAAUUUGUGCAUGACAAGUUUUGCAGUCAUUUGCAACGUCUUUCUUGGACUUUAAUGAAAAAUACUGCCACACAGCCGACAUCACUCCCGCUCCUUGCUACUAGCGGAGUCUGGAAUGGACUGCUUGUAUUGACAUGCUAAAAUCUGACAUUUUAGAUGCAGGCCGAUAUAACCCGAUAUUCAAUGUUUUGGUGAUAUCAGACCAAUAUCCGAUAUCAAUAUCAAAUUGGGACACCCCUACACGAGUGAAAUCUGUGAUUUAAUUGAUGAAUUUCAACAAAAGUACUCCAAAGAUCUUUCAGUGAUGUAAAGCAUUGAUGCAUUGUUUCUACAGUACUAGUACAAAUGUCUUUUCACCAAAUUCAUAACAUCAAAUCCAAUCAAAAAAAUAAUAAUCCUGAUUUUGCCAUAAUGGAGCGGCCCCUGGAUAUGUUCACUGAUUGAUUCAGUAGAGGCUCCUUUCUUAUUAGAUAGGCUUUGCUGAAAGUUUAGAUACAUCCAUCAGUGCAACUGUAGAAUAAAUCAGAUCCUCAGCAGCAUCAUCCAGAUUGAGAGUCCUGCAGGACCCUGUCAUAUAUCCCACUGAAAGGCUCGGAAAGUUGUCAGAAAGUUGCUGGAAACAAAUGUUUGCCCAUCACGGUGAAGAGUUUCUGGACACUAACCUUUUCGGAUAAACAGAGAGUGAAACAAACAGGACGGGAUGUAUGGGUGUCACUGUAACGAGGAGCUGGCAAGAGUUUGAGGAGCUGCUUUCUUUGGAGGUGACACGUUGAAGCCCUUUAGAUGGAUCGUGGUGAAAAAUCUGAACUGAAGGUGCCAAAACUUUUCGCAGACAGACAGGAGAGACAGGAUUGAAGGGAAUUAAGCUGACCCGAGGCAAGAGACGAGACUUUUUUACAUCAAAGGAGAAGUCGUCUUGUCUCCAUCUCUCGUCGCUCUGAUUGAGAAGAAAGGAAGAAUAUUUCACUGAUACUUGGGUGAGAUUUCCUGUGAUGUAAAGCUAAACCUUCAAUCUUCCCAUAAUUCAAAAACAAUCCCAUUACUCAAGCUGAUAAUAAAGCUCAGGUAAAUACACUGUGAACUCUCUAUUUUUCUACCUGCAUCAUAAAUUUUCAUAAGCAGGCUAAGCGGGGGGCAUAUUUUGUUUUCUGAAUAGUUGACAGUUGCAAAGUGCACACAUAUUGACAGUGAUUAGAAUCUGUGAGGGCUUACUGCCAAUGAAUAUUCAGGAGCACCUGUCUGCAGCUGAACCCGCAGUUCAACAAUGCGUGGUCGGGGCGUUCAAUUGCAGUCUCUAAGAUGGAGUCGCGCUACUCUGCAAAAUGAGAAAUCACAAGCGUGUGUUGGCUUACACACCGGUGUGCACUGUGCAGAAAACACACUCUUAAAUACAGUGGAUUUACUGGUCCGUACAGAAGUGUGUGUGUGUGUGUGUGUGUGUGUGUGUGUGUGUGUGUGUGUGUGUGUGUGUGUGUGUGUGUGUGUGUGUGUAUUUUGAUAUUCAUUUCGCAUUCCUGUCAACACUUAACUAAUAAAUUCAAGACAGAAAAAACAAUCUUGUUGAGCUCACCUGUAGAGCAACACGUUUAAUGUUUUAUUUAAAGAAAACGUCUGAGCUCAUUCAGAGCCUCUCAUUUUGAAUUUGUCUGUUUGGUCUCCUUUUGUAGUAAACUGAUAAAUAAAUGUUUUUUUUUUUUGUUUUAAUUUGUUUGUUUUUUACAUACCAGAGUGUUUUCUCGAUUUCUACACCAUGCAAUACUGUCUGCAGAGCCAAAGGCUGCAGUUUCAGGACCACAUUUCUAUGACCCAUUUGUUGUUGUAAAAGUUAAGGGAGGUUAAGACACAAAAAUGUAGUCUUGGUGAUACAGUGCAAGAAGCAAUGCCUGUCAGAAUCAACAAAGAUCUUAGAAAUGCUGUUCCAGAGGUCCUAAAUCUGCAGCUUCCAGGUAUGCAGACGUACAGACUGUUUUCUGAUAUGAACCAAGGGGAGAAUGAUACAUUGAUGAUACAUUGUUGCCAUGUCUCAUCUGGUCCAGUUCACGUUCACAAAGGCCAAACUCAAACGGUCCAAAAAUUGUCACAUGGCAGCAAAAGCCAUUCGUUAAUUGCUUGUACAGUUUAGGCGGGUAGACGACAAAUCCCUUGCAAUUUUAACUGCACAUCACGGAUAAUUGUUUGCUCAUUUUUGUGUUGGUGCUGAUCUGGACUGCAUAUCAGCAGACUCGAAUGGACCACAUAAAAGAACGACUGGGAAGACUGCAGCAAAUGAAUAAUGUAUUAAUACACGCACGUCACAAGAGACGCUCUCCAAUUGGACGGAAGGCGACAGGCAGUAAUUCGUAACUGCACGUUUGUCCCCUACCAGACACCACCAUAACAGGAUAUGACAUGUAAAACGGUGCGCUUCCUGUGAUAGCUGUGGAUGGGGACCAGAGUUCACUUAAUAGUGGUUUGAAACCACCCCUACCAGGCAGACCCGAGAGUUCGAGGCCAGCGCUCACACCAACCAAAACGAACCUCACCAAGGAGGUAAACGCUCCAGGGUUCAGUUCAACUGGACUAAACAGGGCUGGCCUGAACGCGACCGAAGACGCUAAAGCAAUGCACCCAAAUGGAGGCUAUCACUAUGUAGAUGUUUUUUCAUCAGGAGACAACUACAAAUAUCAACAAGAGUGGUCAUGUUCAACUCUGGCCUCUGUGAAAGUUCUGCUGUGCAUGGCACAUCCAAAACCAUCAAAUUAGACCUUUCUCUUACCUUAUACUCUGUGAUCAGACUCUCCACAUUUCAUGUUAUCAUCACAAAGAAGGAGCUAUUGGAGUUUCUCUCUAAGGUAUGAACAGAGAAAAACUAGAGUUAGAAAGCCAAGGUUAUUUCACAUAUUUCUGUGUUUUCAUGUGUGAGGUGGAAAUAAAUUUCUGCCAUCACAUCUAUACAACUAAAAUAUGCUAGCUUUAGUGACCACAUACUUACAUUUAUUAUUUAAGUACAACAUGUUUGCUGGAGAUCACAGUAACUCACAGUAAAAUCUGACCCGCACCAAGCAGACAAAGAAACCAAAAGUGUUGUUAUUCUUGACACCAAUCUGUCCCAGUUUUGCUGACUCGCCCCCCGCUGCGCCUCCCCCUCACCUUUGGCGCAGGCGAAAUUACGAUGAGUCACCAAAAUAUCAAACAGCACAAGCAUGACUGUGCCUGCGAAACAAAAACAACAAAAGAUGCCACCUCACCAGCGAAAGCCGAGCCUAAAUAACAACUCUGGUUUUCCCUCUGGUUCAGAGUUUGUUUCUGCAUGUCACCAGCCUGAGAGACACUGCAGUCUUUCAUCAUUACAUGAGUUUAAUUUUAUUUUACUGGACUCGUGUACUGUGAUAUUACCUAGUAAGUAUAGAUCCAUGUUUUGGAUCUCAGCCUGACAAAGCCAGCUGGUUCAAUUAAGUGUGUGAUGCUCUCUCUGGCACAGAAAGUGAAAUAGGUGGGUGUGCAGCAGAGAGGCAAUUUCAGGGUUUGGAACUGAUCUCAUUGUUUGUGCAAUUUAAAUGAAGAUAAUAUUCGAUAAACAUGAUCCCAGAACACUGACGCAAACCUUUAUCAACAGCAAUGCGUCCUCAUUUAUCACAAAUAUUGAAUUCAUCUGAGAGAAUUUGAUCUUAAUUUAGGAAAUCUGAGCUUCAAACUGCUGAGUGCCUGAGUCUCAGACUGCAAAACAAGCAGCAUUAACACCACAGCGUCUUUAGAAAUCAGAUUAUCAUGAGCUGCUUUUUUGCAAUGUAGCUGUUAACCACUAUCAUCUGUGAAAAAGCAGUAUUUUGUGUGAAGUGAACACAGCUAUAGAUAGGAGCUGUAACCCUGCCAUUCUGUAACUAUGGAAACAAUAAUGAGGUCACUGUGCUAUUUUAGCAGGGUUUACUCUGAGAUCAUUACAGACAGCACACCACAGUUUCAGCACAAGUUUGUGGAAGUUCAGUAAAGACAGAGCCUCCACGGAAACUGAACCCGUCACACACACAUAUCUACACACGCACAAAGAGUCGAAUUAAGAUGUGAUGCUGCCGGCUAUAACCUUGAGUGAUCUCACAUGGAGCUCAUUAGUCAUUGCACACAGUUCAAUCCCAAUACCAGCCAUGUCAAAAUCAGAAAAUAAUAAUAAUGUCAAAGUAUCUACUCUUUCAUUCACAGUCAUUACAUGUUGUUUGGCCUUCGAUCUCCUGAGAACACUCUUCAUCUGAA